This 164-nucleotide small nuclear RNA is filed under the name Echinops telfairi (small Madagascar hedgehog). RNAcentral's name for it is "U1 spliceosomal RNA (ENSETEG00000020992.1)". It matches the Rfam family "U1 spliceosomal RNA". Rfam says of the family: U1 is a small nuclear RNA (snRNA) component of the spliceosome (involved in pre-mRNA splicing). Its 5' end forms complementary base pairs with the 5' splice junction, thus defining the 5' donor site of an intron. The record is from RNAcentral. Lineage: Eukaryota; Metazoa; Chordata; Mammalia; Afrosoricida; Tenrecidae.
AUACUUACCUGGCAGGGGAGACACCAUGAUCACGAAGGUGGUUUUCCCAGGGCGAGGCUUAUCCAUUGCACUCCGGAUAUGCUGACCCCUGCGAUUUCCCCAAAUGUGGGAAACUCGACUGCAUAAUUUGUGGUAGUAGGGGACUGUGUUCGCACUCUCUCCUG